This is a non-coding RNA of Camellia sinensis, 1027 nucleotides long. The record is from RefSeq and is a predicted model, not a curated record. NCBI's taxonomy places the organism in Eukaryota, Viridiplantae, Streptophyta, Magnoliopsida, Ericales, Theaceae.
GACCGUAGCUGGAAAUUGUGUUCUACUAUGUGACUUGUCUCUAAGUGUUUCAGGCCUUUUUAAUGUUAUUUCUUGCUUAACUAUACUUAUGUACUUAUGUAUGAUGAUCAUGGACUAUAUUUCCUCUAGUAUGUUUUUCCCAUACUCGUUUAAUUGACCAAAUUACCGAAUGUGACUAACUCACCUAGCAAAAGAUCUAAUAAACGGGAAAUGAUAAGGGGUUGGCAAUGGGUGACGUUUAUCUUAGUGUUUUAGAACAAUUUUAUACAUAUGCAUGACAUGAAUUAUGAUGGGGUUAAUACCAAAUGAGUUAAGUCUUGCGUAAGCAGUUUAAGCGAGCCCCUGGGUUGACCUGGAUGUAUUCAGACUCUAUGCGGCGGUUUCAGGGUGUAAACGAGCCCUUUGGUAUGGUAUGUGCAGGGUGUAAGCAAGCCCUUUGGUAUGGUAUGUGCAGGGUGUAAGCGAGCCCUUUGGUAUGGUAUGUGCAAGGUGUAAGCGAGCCCGAGGCACGAGUUGGGUGUAAGCGAGCCCGAGGCACGAGUUGGGUGUAAGCGAGCCCACUUGUUGGUCGUCCCUUUUAAGGUCCAUCAAUGCCACUGACAGGUAAAUAAUCAGAAGGUGGGCAUAGGUGGUAAGGUCUGCAAAGCAGCAAAAGGGAGAGUUUUGAAUAGUCUGGUGUUCAAUCCUUGUGGUUGGGUAGAAGGAUCUCUUUGGGGGGUCCUAAAUGCCUAGUCUAACUACUGAUUUAUAAAACCUUAAUGUGAAGAAGCAGCUUACGACGGGGAAGGUUAUCCCGAAGACAAUCAAGAUGAAGUUUUAGAGCCGUGGUUCACUUGAAAAUUUAGACUAGUAGUUUGUUUUUGUGUUCUCUUUUCUUUUACCUUUUGGUUUGACAAUAUUUGUAAACCUCUAGUGGAACUCAAAUCAGUUAUCCAUGUUAUAACUCCGCUUGUAUGUGUAUAUUAACGUAUUGUGGUUAUCUAUUUUGUUUGAGUUGUACUUUAUAUAUUUCUCUUGCGGUCUCAAA